AGAUGGCCAAACUGUUACAGAACCAGCACAUACUGCUGAGGGGCAGCAACAUGCACAAACUGAAGGCAAUUUUGAAACUGUAAAUCCCAACCUGUCUAAAGAGGCUGACAUAGAUGGCCAAAUUGUUAAAGAACCACCACAUAAUGCUGAGGGGCAGCAAUCUCCACAAACUGAAGGCAAUUUUGAAACUGUAAAUCCCAACCUCUCUAAAGAGGCUGACAUAGCAUCCGGAGACCAUGUGGGAGAUGUUAAUGUUACUGAUGAUGAGCAGCAGCGUUCGCCACCACCAGGUGCUAACACGUCUCCGGGAGGAAAUGAUUCCUCGCCUCAUGUCAUCCCCAAUCUACAUGCAUCUACAUCUCCACCACAUGAGUCUGGUCGAUCGGAAGCUAAUGUCAAUGAGGAUACUUUUGACCCUAAUGGCGCCUUCAGUUUUCUUAAUGAUCCAACCCCUCCCCAGA
Phragmites australis (common reed) is the source of this 461-nucleotide long non-coding RNA. RefSeq lists it as uncharacterized. The record is from RefSeq and is a predicted model, not a curated record. NCBI's taxonomy places the organism in Eukaryota, Viridiplantae, Streptophyta, Magnoliopsida, Poales, Poaceae. The transcript is spliced from 3 exons.